Long non-coding RNA from Panicum virgatum (switchgrass), 571 nucleotides. RefSeq lists it as uncharacterized. NCBI's taxonomy places the organism in Eukaryota, Viridiplantae, Streptophyta, Magnoliopsida, Poales, Poaceae. The record is from RefSeq and is a predicted model, not a curated record. The transcript has 3 exons.
GGUGUUGAUGUAUUUUUUUACUCCCUUCUUUACCCUCACUUCAGAAUGGAACAAAGGACUCCAUUAGCAAGCUUGUCUCUGAAUUGAAUGCUGCUACACUCGAAACUGAUGUAGAUGUUGUGGUGGCACCUCCAUUCAUUUAUAUUGACCAGGGGAACAGGGAUUUGGCGUCGGGAGCGACUCGCGGCUGCGCCGCCGGCGAGCCCACGGAGUGCAUAGAUGCUACACUGAUGCUGCUAGUUAUUCCCAUCAAGUUCCGAAAAUGGCCAUAUGAGAGUGGGUCAUGCUUCCUUGUUGCCCGAGGCUGAAACUUCUGCCUCCUUGUUGCCCGAGGUUGAAACUUCUGCGCUGCACAUAGGGCAUACCUGCAAUAAUCAGAAAUAUUUUGUCAAAUCUUGGGCCAAGAUAUACUGUCAUGGUUAGAAGUGUCCGCGUCACAUUAAUUAUAAAACAUGUUAAAACUGCCGCAGCCAAACAGUAUGCAUAAUGGGAGUACAUCUGUAGCUUACAGCUAGUCACUGUGCCAGACAGUGAGAUAUCUGUCAAGCCGACCAUUUGACAGGAAAACUAA